This 253-nucleotide ribosomal RNA is filed under the name uncultured bacterium. RNAcentral's name for it is "partial 16S ribosomal RNA". It matches the Rfam family "Bacterial small subunit ribosomal RNA", at positions 524 to 776 of the family's 1533-position model. The record is from RNAcentral.
UACGUAGGGUGCGAGCGUUGUCCGGAAUUAUUGGGCGUAAAGGGCUCGUAGGCGGUUUGUCGCGUCGGGAGUGAAAACACUGGGCUUAACUCAGUGCUUGCUUCCGAUACGGGCAGACUAGAGGUAUGCAGGGGAGAACGGAAUUCCUGGUGUAGCGGUGAAAUGCGCAGAUAUCAGGAGGAACACCGGUGGCGAAGGCGGUUCUCUGGGCAUUACCUGACGCUGAGGAGCGAAAGCCAGGGGAGCAAACGGG